AGAGUUUGAUCAUGGCUCAGGACGAACGCUGGCGGCGUGCUUUAGACAUGCAAGUCGAACGCGAAAGCCCCUUCGGGGGCGAGUAGAGUGGCGAACGGGUGAGUAACACGUGGGUAACCUGCCCCUCACUGGGGGAUAACCGGGGGAAACCCCGGCUAAUACCCCAUCCGCUUUCUGGGUCGCAUGGCCCGGCAAGGAAAGGUAGCUUCGGCCAUCCGGUGAGGGAUGGGCCCGCGGUGCAUUAGCUAGUUGGGGGUAACGGCCUACCAAGGCUACGAUGCAUAGCUGGUCUGAGAGGAUGAUCAGCCCACUGGGACUGAGACCGGCCCAGACUCCUACGGGAGGCAGCAGUCGGGAAUCUUGCGCAAUGGGCGAAAGCCUGACGCAGCAACGCCGCGUGAGCGACGAAGGCCUUCGGGUCGUAAAGCUCUGUUGUUGGGGACGAAGGGUUAGGGGUUAAUAGCCCCGAGCCUGACGGUACCCUUCGAGAAGCCCCGGCUAACUACGUGCCAGCAGCCGCGGUAAUACGUAGGGGGCGAGCGUUGUCCGGAAUUAUUGGGCGUAAAGAGCGUGUAGGCGGCCCGGUAAGUCCGCCGUGAAAACUCGGGGCUCAACCCCGGGCUUGCGGUGGAUACUGUCGGGCUAGAGGGUGGUAGAGGGGAGUGGAAUUCCCGGUGUAGCGGUGAAAUGCGCAGAUAUCGGGAGGAACACCAGUAGCGAAGGCGGCUCCCUGGGCCAUUCCUGACGCUGAGACGCGAAAGCGUGGGGAGCAAACAGGAUUAGAUACCCUAGUAGUCC
Molecule: ribosomal RNA, 798 nt
Filed under: uncultured bacterium
Lineage: Bacteria
Description: bacterial SSU rRNA
Rfam family: Bacterial small subunit ribosomal RNA
Source: RNAcentral